AGUGAACGCUGGCGGUAGGCCUAACACAUGCAAGUCGAACGGCAGCACAGUAAGAGCUUGCUCUUACGGGUGGCGAGUGGCGGACGGGUGAGGAAUACCUCGGAAUCUACUUUUUCGUGGGGGAUAACGUAGGGAAACUUACGCUAAUACCGCAUACGACCUACGGGUGAAAGCAGGGGAUCUUCGGACCUUGCGCGAUUGAAUGAGCCGCUGCCGGAUUAGCUGGUUGGCGGGGUAAAGGCCCACCAAGGCGACGAUCCGUAGCUGGUCUGAGAGGGUGAUCAGCCACACUGUAACUGAGACACGGUCCAGACUCCUACGGGAGGCAGCAGUGGGGAAUAUUGGACAAUGGGCGCAAACCUGAUCCAGCCAUACCGCGUGGGUGAAGAAGGCCUUCGGGUUGUAAAGCCCUUUUGUUGGGAAAGAAAAGCGGCAGGUUAAUACCCCGCUGUUCUGACGGUACCCAAAGAAUAAGCACCGGCUAACUUCGUG
RNAcentral lists this ribosomal RNA (492 nucleotides) under uncultured bacterium. RNAcentral describes it as "partial 16S ribosomal RNA". It matches the Rfam family "Bacterial small subunit ribosomal RNA", at positions 29 to 507 of the family's 1533-position model. The record is from RNAcentral.